GGCGGCAUGCUUUACACAUGCAAGUCGAACGGCAGCGCGGGGCAACCUGGCGGCGAGUGGCGAACGGGUGAGUAAUAUAUCGGAACGUACCCAAGAGUGGGGGAUAACGUAGCGAAAGUUACGCUAAUACCGCAUACGAUCUACGGAUGAAAGCGGGGGAUCUUCGGACCUCGUGCUCCUGGAGCGGCCGAUAUCUGAUUAGCUAGUUGGUGAGGUAAAGGCUCACCAAGGCGACGAUCAGUAGCUGGUCUGAGAGGACGACCAGCCACACUGGAACUGAGACACGGUCCAGACUCCUACGGGAGGCAGCAGUGGGGAAUUUUGGACAAUGGGCGCAAGCCUGAUCCAGCAAUGCCGCGUGAGUGAAGAAGGCCUUCGGGUUGUAAAGCUCUUUUGUCAGGGAAGAAACGGCGCGGGCUAAUAUCCUGCGCUAAUGACGGUACCUGAAGAAUAAGCACCGGCUAACUACGUGCCAGCAGCCGCGGUAAUACGUAGGGUGCAAGCGUUAAUCGGAAUUACUGGGCGUAAAGCGUGCGCAGGCGGUUUUGUAAGUCUGACGUGAAAUCCCCGGGCUCAACCUGGGAAUUGCGUUGGAGACUGCAAGGCUGGAGUCUGGCAGAGGGGGGUAGAAUUCCACGUGUAGCAGUGAAAUGCGUAGAGAUGUGGAGGAACACCGAUGGCGAAGGCAGCCCCCUGGGUCAAGACUGACGCUCAUGCACGAAAGCGUGGGGAGCAAACAGGAUUAGAUACCCUGGUAGUCCACGCCCUAAACGAUGUCUACUAGUUGUCGGGUCUUAAUUGACUUGGUAACGCAGCUAACG
RNAcentral lists this ribosomal RNA (821 nucleotides) under uncultured beta proteobacterium. Its description in RNAcentral is "bacterial SSU rRNA". It matches the Rfam family "Bacterial small subunit ribosomal RNA", at positions 38 to 857 of the family's 1533-position model. Lineage: Bacteria; Pseudomonadati; Pseudomonadota; Betaproteobacteria. The record is from RNAcentral.